This is a non-coding RNA of Ameiurus melas (black bullhead), 68 nucleotides long. The record is from the annotation of a GenBank genome assembly. Lineage: Eukaryota; Metazoa; Chordata; Actinopteri; Siluriformes; Ictaluridae.
GGUACGGUGGCUUAGUGGUUAGCACGUUUGCACCCAUGGGGUUUUGGGUUCGAUUCCUGCCUCUGCCC